Delphinella strobiligena is the source of this 107-nucleotide non-coding RNA. The record is from the annotation of a GenBank genome assembly. Lineage: Eukaryota; Fungi; Ascomycota; Dothideomycetes; Dothideales; Dothioraceae.
ACUCCUGUGACGCAGUGGCUAGCGUGUCGUUCUUAUAUUCUUUCUUCGGAAACAAUAUGGCCAUUGAGGUUAUGCGAAAGUCGAGGGUUCGACCCCCUCCAGGAGUA